GAUGAACGCUGGCGGCGUGCCUAACACAUGCAAGUCGAACGAAAGGACGAGAAGCUUGCUUGCCUGAUGUUAGCGGCGGACGGGUGAGUAACACGUGGAUAACCAACCUAUAAGACUGGGAUAACUACGGGAGACCGGAUCUAACAAUAGAUGAUAUGUUGAACCGGAUGGUUCAAAAGAGAAAGACGGCCUUGGUGUCACUAAUAGAUGGUUCCGGGCUGGAUUAGUUAGUUGGUAAGGUAACGGCCUACCAAGGCUACGAUGCGUAGCCGACCUGAGAGGCUGAUCGGCCACACUGGAACUGAGACACGGUCCAGACUCCUACGGGAGGCAGCAGUAGGGAAUCUUCGGCAAUGGGCGAAAGCCUGACCCAGCAACGCCGCGUGAGUGAUGAAGGUCUUCGGUUCGUAAAGCUCUUUUGUUGGGAAAGAACAGAUGUGUAAUAAAACGACGACGUCUUGACGGUACCUAAUCAAAAAGCCCCGGCUAACUACGUG
RNAcentral lists this ribosomal RNA (497 nucleotides) under uncultured bacterium. RNAcentral's name for it is "partial 16S ribosomal RNA". It matches the Rfam family "Bacterial small subunit ribosomal RNA", at positions 28 to 507 of the family's 1533-position model. The record is from RNAcentral.